ACAGGUCCAGUCUUGUGCAGGCAACCUCAGCUGCUGCCAGAUUAUGUUGCAAUGGCUGAACGGUGCGCAGAAGUCAGCCCUUUGCGGACCUUCUCCCUAUAGUGUGCCUCUUAGAUUCUUUCUGCUUCUUUUUCUGUGUUGUCCUCUGAACCUUACAGAGAACGAUAUAGAUGUCUUCCUUAAGGCACUGCAAGGUCGCCUCGUCUCAUCACCUUGAGCAUCCAUGAAUUCUGCAAUCCCCAGCAUUCACUGCAAAGAGAAGCUUCCCGGAUUCAUAAUUUCAUCUGGCGUUAUUUUCCUUGUGUUUGAAGAUACCAAUGACAAUAAACAUAUAUGCAGGCCCAUAUAUGCAUGCCCAUACCAUACACAAAUAUAGUUUAAAUUUUCCCAUCCGGGCUGACACUGUUCCCCACAAGAAGCAUAGACUAAUAAAACCCCAACGGCAAGCACAGGAAGCCCUCUUUUGAGUUCCUGGUCACCUUUGUCCAAGAGGUUCUCAAAACUUUAAAGGCCAUUGUUACUGCUUUUUAUUGACUCCCUGAAAAGAUCCUCAACUACCGAACUCAAACACAUUGACAUGGGUAAAAUGCCAGAAGAAUGCUUCAAAAACUAACUGGUAAAACUGUCCAAGGACCUGGCAGAAGAUUAUGAGAAGUACACAAGUUCUGUCCAGGACCCAGAAAGGAGAAUCGGCAGCAUGCACAGAAAGGUUAGAGACAUGUGUGAGUCACAGGUCAUCAGCAUGGGAGAAUGCUUUAGACAGGAAGGUGGGAUUCUUCUGAGAAAAGAUAUAGAACUGCCGGGGAUGUUAGAAAACAAAUGACCUGCAAUGAAUCAGAUAAAAAAGAAACAGAGAAAACAGCAGCUGUGGGCUCUCCUGAGACAGGUCAUCAGGGUGGAGAGUGGAGUUGACAGAAUGCACAUUCACACAGCAGUAAGGACAAAAACACACCCAGCCAUACUGUCCAAGGACUCUGGGGGUGAGACCAAGAGACCAAAUUUAAGAACCGAUGAGAGAGAUGGAGCUGAAGGGUUGGGGAUUUAGCUCAGUGGUAGAGUGCUUGCCUAGCAAGCACAAGUCCCUGGGUUCGGUCCUCAGCUCCAAAAAAAAAAAAAAAAAAAGAAGAAGAAGAAGAAGAAGAAGAAAAAGAAAAGAAAAGAGAGAGUUGGAGCUGAGACAAACACUGAAAGCACAGACUGUAGUCAACGAAGUUAAGAAAAUUCCCCCAUUGUAGAGGGGGAAACAGCCAUGUAAACACAGGAGGUGUAAAGACGCCAGAAUAAAAUUAUGGGGAAAAAAAAUCUCCCAUGGCAUUUGUCAAGAAAACAGAGAGGAAGUAAAAAUAUUAAAAUUCAAUAGAGAAAAAUAUGUCAGCUCACUCACAAUGACAGAAAUAUCAGAAUAGCAGUCCUAAAUGCACAAGGAUGCAUACAAGGUCACCAGAGUGAAGACGAGCUUUAACUGAAGGACCAGUAUUGGGGAUUCUGCAAUACUUCACUCUAACUACAGUACAGAGACAUAGUAACAAAAGCAGCAUGGUGCUGGCAGAAACAGUCAGGUAAAACAACAAAGAGAAAACACAGAAAUUACCUCACAGCUGUCUGUAGUCGCCUACUUCUUAACAAUGUUGCCACAAACUUGUUUGAGAGAAGACUGUCUCUUCAAGCUCAGAGUUAACUACACCACAGAUGUGCUAGGGAAACUGGCUUUCACAUGUAGAAGAAUGGGGCUCGAACCACUACUAAACGGAAAUCAACUCAAAACUAAUUAAACACCUUAAUGUAGAACCUGAAAACUUAAAACUCUUAUGGGAGAUGGUUAAGAUAGGCCCAGGCCGGCUUCUUCUGCUGCAGGCUCCAGCUGCACAGGAAAUAGAACCGGAAUCGGCAGUGUUGGCAGAGAAACACCAGAGGAACAGCCUACAGGGAAGGCCUUCACCAUCAGACAGGGGUUCAAUGUUUAGGAUACGUAAAGAACUGUAGAAAUCAUACACCAGAAGAACAAUCAGUCAAUGAGCUAAGAAACUGAGUUAAACCUCUUAAAAACAGAGAUACUUGUGAGUGUUCUUUGAGUGUUCUUCUGAGUCAAUACAAAGUGUCCAACAUCCUCAUCCAUCAGGAAAUGUAAACGAAAACUGCUUUGAGAUACCAUCUCCUCCCAGUCAGAGCAACGGCAAUCAAGAACUGACAAGGGAUUCUAGCAGGCAUGUGGGGAAUGAGGACCUCAUCCCUUAGUGAUAGGAAGGUAAGCUUGGGUAACCUUCAUGAAAUCAAUAUGUAGAUUCUUCCAGAAACUAGAAAUAAGUCUACAGCUUGACCAAUUCACAUGCUUUAGCUGCAUACGUGUUUCUCGACCCGCCACAGAGACCCUUGUCCAUCCAUGUGCAUAGUGGCACUGUUCACAAGAGUCAGCAAAGGGGACCAGCCUAUGUGUCCAUCAACAGAUGAAUGGGUCAAGGAAAAUAAAACUAUUUUGUUCAGAGGUAAAGGGAUAGAACUGUAAGUUAUUGUGGAAAGUGUAAUAACCCAGACCAGGGAAACCUGGAUACUUUGGCUCACAUGCAGAGCAUAGACUUAACUUUUUAUGUAUGCAUAUACGUAUAUGUGAAUGCGUGAGCCAGGAACCCGGAGAGUUCUUAAGGUGUGGAAGAGACGGGAAUGGAACGCAUGAUCAAAAAGCAGAAGAGGGGGAGCUCUCCUAGAGAGAGAUGGAAAAUAGCCAGGUGGGGGAGGGGACCGGAGGGAGAAAAUCAGGGGAGAGAAACAAAUGAGCCCAGAUCAUAAUGACACGGGUACAUGCAAGUGAUGGGACCAAGUCAGUCAUGUGCAUGCUGAUCUGAGAAAUGGGCUUUUAAAAUGAAAAUUCAGAAACAGUGAGAUCUUUUUGUUAAGUCUAGCCUGUUGGUUGAUGUCUUCCCGCCUCCUAAGGCUUUGUGUUUUCCGGCUUCCUCGAAUGCCUGAUGAUCUCUCCUCCACCAUGUGUGUGUGUGUGUGUGUGUGGUGUGUGUGUGUGUGUGGUGUGUGUGUGUGUGUGGUGUGUGUGUGUGGUGUGUGUGUGUGGUGUGUGUGGUGUGUGUGUGUGGUGUGUGUGGUGUGUGUGUGUGGUGUGUGUGUGGUGUGUGUGGUGUGUGUGUGUGGUGUGUGUGUGGUGUGUGUGUGGGUGUGUGUGGUGUGUGUGUGUGUGGUGUGUGUGUGUGUGGUGUGUGUGUGUGGUGUGUGUGUGGGGGGUGUGUGUGGUGUGUGUGUGGUGUGUGUAUGUGUGUGUGGUGUGUGGUGUGUGGUGUGUGUGUGUGGUGUGUGUGUGUGUGUGGUGUGUGUGUGUGUGUGGUGUGUGUGUGGUGUGUGUGUGUGUGGUGUGUGUGUGUGUGGUGUGUGUGUGGUGUGUGUGUGUGGUGUGUGUGGUGUGUGUGUGUGUGGUGUGUGGUGUGUGGUGUGUGUGUGUGGUGUGUGUGUGUGGUGUGUGUGUGUGGUGUGUGUGGUGUGUGUGUGGGUGGUGUGUGUGUGUGUGGUAUGUGGUGUGUGUGUGUGUGUGUGUGUGUGUGUGUGUGGUGUGCAUGGUCCAGUGUGUAAGUGUAGGUGUUCAUGUGGAGGUCAGAGUGAGGGUCUCUGUUGCUUUGCUGUGCACAGGCAGAUAAACGUCCAAGGGUUCUCCUGCUUUUGCUUGUCGUCUUGCUGUAGGAACUCUGGGGUUGCACACGUGCUUGGCUUUACAUGGGUUCUGGGUAUUCAAGUUCCAGCCACCAUGCUUGCUGGCCAGGUGUUUUCCCUACUGAGCUAACUCACCACCCACCCAGUAACACUUAAUGUUACUUUGAUUUUGAGUAGAUGCUGGUCAGUGUGACUUUAACCUUGGUGGAGGCUGGGAAAAAUUUGCCUUCUUUUAUUUUAAGACUUAUUAGGUAGAGUCAUAGACACGCUCGGUCUAAUGGUAACGACACCUCGGUGCCAUGGUAAGAACGUUCUGAAAAAUCUACCCAAGUGCCAUCGUGUUGCUUCCCAGUUUGGGGUACAGGGUCAGGUCCUGUGGGUGGCUAGGAUUUGAAGCAGAAAGGUCAAGCUCUGCCUGCAGGCCGCCCUCUGCGCACCGUGCAGACAUUGCACACAGCCUAGGCACAGCAGUUUUCUGCUUGAGAGGCUGCCCUGUUUCCAUACUUCCUUGGGAGUUCAAAGAGCUCUGUAGCUGUGGCUAAAAGAAGCAAAUGUAACCUCCCAGAAAGACAGCAGUCUUCCUUACUGCAUACGGGUGGCACACGGGCACUGAAACAGUAUCUGAAGAGCCUGGCCAGGAGGGACAUAUAUGCAAGGCGAAGAAUGAACUCAACUAAGUUCUUUUUAUAAAUUUACCGCAUUGCUUCAAUAAUUAGAAAAUAUAAUUUUAAAGAUCCUAAUAUUUGUUGUUUAAAUACAAACAUGUAUACCUAAACAUAUAUAUGUAUAUAUGUAGGUGUGUAUGUAUAUUAAAUUUUUUCUCUCUAGAAAUAUGCCUCCACCA
Rattus norvegicus (Norway rat) is the source of this 4492-nucleotide long non-coding RNA. RefSeq lists it as uncharacterized. NCBI's taxonomy places the organism in Eukaryota, Metazoa, Chordata, Mammalia, Rodentia, Muridae. The record is from RefSeq and is a predicted model, not a curated record.